CCUACGGGAGGCAGCAGUAGGGAAUCUUCCGCAAUGGACGAAAGUCUGACGGAGCAACGCCGCGUGAGUGAUGAAGGUUUUCGGAUCGUAAAACUCUGUUGUUAGGGAAGAACAAGUACCGGAGUAACUGCCGGUACCUUGACGGUACCUAACCAGAAAGCCACGGCUAACUACGUGCCAGCAGCCGCGGUAAUACGUAGGUGGCAAGCGUUGUCCGGAAUUAUUGGGCGUAAAGCGCGCGCAGGCGGUUCCUUAAGUCUGAUGUGAAAGCCCACGGCUCAACCGUGGAGGGUCAUUGGAAACUGGGGAACUUGAGUGCAGAAGAGAAGAGUGGAAUUCCACGUGUAGCGGUGAAAUGCGUAGAGAUGUGGAGGAACACCAGUGGCGAAGGCGACUCUUUGGUCUGUAACUGACGCUGAGGCGCGAAAGCGUGGGGAGCAAACAGGAUUAGAUACCCUGGUAGUCCACGCCGUAAACGAUGAGUGCUAAGUGUUAGGGGGUUUCCGCCCCUUANUGCUGCAGCUAACGCAUUAAGCACUCCGCCUGGGGGAGUACGGUCGCAAGACUGAAACUCAAAUGAAUUGACGGGG
Molecule: ribosomal RNA, 590 nt
Filed under: uncultured Bacillus sp.
Lineage: Bacteria; Bacillati; Bacillota; Bacilli; Caryophanales; Bacillaceae
Description: bacterial SSU rRNA
Rfam family: Bacterial small subunit ribosomal RNA
Source: RNAcentral